This 469-nucleotide ribosomal RNA is filed under the name uncultured bacterium. RNAcentral's name for it is "bacterial SSU rRNA". It matches the Rfam family "Bacterial small subunit ribosomal RNA", at positions 28 to 492 of the family's 1533-position model. The record is from RNAcentral.
GAUGAACGCUAGCGGCAGGCUUAAUACAUGCAAGUCGAGGGGCAGCACGGUUAGCAAUAACUGGUGGCGACCGGCGCACGGGUGCGUAACACGUAUACAAUCUACCUUAAACAGGGGGAUAGCCUUUCGAAAGAGAGAUUAAUACCCGUAAUAAAUUGAACGGCAUCGUUUGAUUUUUGAAAGCUCCGGCGGUUUGAGAUGAGUAUGCGUCUGAUUAGCUAGUUGGUGAGGUAACGGCUCACCAAGGCGACGAUCAGUAGGGGAUCUGAGAGGACUAACCCCCCACACUGGUACUGAGACACGGACCAGACUCCUACGGGAGGCAGCAGUAAGGAAUAUUGGUCAAUGGAGGCAACUCUGAACCAGCCAUGCCGCGUGCAGGAUGACGGCCCUAUGGGUUGUAAACUGCUUUUAUACAAGAGAAAACCCUGGUACGUGUACCAGGUUGAUAGUAUUGUAAGAAUAAGCA